UGUAAUCAGAUUAAGUACACACACGAUCCUGACCCCGAAAUUCCACUCUCCUACCCUUACUUUUAUCGUUUGGGUUUUGGUUUAUUUUUAGCAUAUUCUUAAUCCGUCUGGGAUUUAUUUCGUUGUAGAGUGUAAGUAUUGAGCAAUAUUUAUUUUCCCCAAAUGUUUGGACUGUUGACUUAACACUUUUGAAUAACGCCCCCCUUUUAAGUCACUGGCAUGCUAUCGCUUACUAACGUCUUACAGAUUCCUGGGUCUGUUUCCAGGUGUUCAGUUUCCGAACAGUGGAUCUCGGAGCUGCCAAGCACUGACCCAUUUGGAGAAUAUUUAAUCCCUCCUGUACUUUGUGCUUUGAUGUCAAGAGCCAUGAACUCACUGCAAAUCCAAAGAAAAACCAGUCACAGAAACCAACGGCCGUUUUUUCCUGGGUUUUAUAGAAGAGCUUGAACACCCCUGGCUGGAGACACUAGACGAUGCUGAUUCAACCUGUCUCCUAUACCUAAGAAGUGACAAACCCAAGGCUUGGCUGCGGCUGCAAUGAAGAAUGACAAAGAGCUUUUCCAGAAAUAGUGCCCGCUCCUACGUAAACAGUGACAAUGUCACUCAGUUCAACAAGUCUCUUCUUCCCUACACAGCCAAGUUUAGAAUUAUCUUGAAGGUAUUCAAGCUAUUUGUCUUCUGUUCUUUCCAUUCCCCUUUAAACAAUAGAUCUAAAACACAUGGAGAACAAAACCGAGAAUUGGUUCUUUGAAAAGAUAAACAAAAUAGACAAACAAGAGAGAAACUAAAAUAACUAAAAUCAGAAAUGGAAGAGAGUCAUGACUACUGAUUGCAUAGAAAUAAAAAAGGAUCAUAAAAGAGUAUUGUGACCAAUUGUAUGCCAAGAAAUUGAAUAACCCAGAUAAAAUGGACACAUUCCUAGAAACACACAAUCUCCCAAGACUCAAUUAUGAAGAAAUAGAAAAUCUGAACAGACCUAUAACUAGUAAGGGGAUUUAAUCAGUAAUCAAAGACCUCAUGAUAAAGAAAAGCCUGGGACCAGAUGGCUUUAUUGGCAAAUUCUACUAAGCAUUUAAAGAAUUACACCAAUCCUGCUCAAACUGGUCCAAAAAUUGAAGAGGAGGGAACACUCCCAAAGUCAUUUUAGGAGGCUAGCAUUACCCUAACACUGAAGUCAGACAAAGACACUACAAGAAAAGUACAGACCAAUAUCUCUGGUGAAUAUUGAUGAAAAAUGCUUAACAAAAUACUAUUAAACAGAAUUCAGCGGCGGACUUAAUAUUGUUAAAAUGUCAGUACUACCCCAAAUGGUCUGCAGGUUCAAUAUAAUCCCUACCAAAAUCCCAAAGAUGGGUUUUUUUCAGAAAUAGAAAAAUCUGUUGUGAUAUUCAUAUGGCAUCUCAAAGGACCCUGAAUAGCCAAACCAAUCUUGAAAAAUAACAAAGUUGGAGAGCUCACACUUUCUGAUUCUAUUACUUGCUACAAAGCCAUGAUCAUCAAGUCAGGAUUGUGCUGGCAUCAAGACAUACCGACCAAUGAAAUAAAAUAGAGAGCUCAAGCCCAGAAUAAACCUUCCUAUAUUUGGCCAAAUUUUUUUGACAAAAUGUCAAGACCAUUCAAUGGGGAAAGGACAGUCUUUUCAACAAAUGGUGCUGGAAAAACUGGAUAUCCACACGCUAAAGAAUGAAGUUGGACCCUUAUCUUGCAACCAUUCAAAAUACAUCAAAGAUGUAAGUGUAAAGCUCUUAGAAGAAAACUUAGGGGGAAACCUUCAUGACAUUGGAUUUAGCAAUGAUUUCUUGGAUAUGAC
Molecule: long non-coding RNA, 1810 nt
Organism: Ailuropoda melanoleuca (giant panda)
Lineage: Eukaryota; Metazoa; Chordata; Mammalia; Carnivora; Ursidae
Exons: 3
Source: RefSeq, a predicted model, not a curated record